AGACAAACUUUCUCCAAAGGAGCUUGGGGAUCAAUCUUCGCAACACUAACAUCAUGCACAACUGUGUACUGGCUGAAUGUUGAGGUUCCCAUGAAAUGGUAAAUAGGCUUUCCAUUUAUAGAGAACCGACUCUUACGAUCAUUCAUCAUGAUUCCAACACCUGUAGCUGCACGAACCUUGCCACAAAGAUUUGUCUUCCCUGAUCUGCAAAAUUUGCAUUCUCUGCAUUCUGCCUGGUAACAAGGGAUGACAUGAUCACCCGGCUGAACCUCAGUCACGCCUUCACCAACACUUUCUACAAUCCCAGCAGCCUCAUGACCAAGGAUACAAGGGAAAAGGCCCUCGGGAUCCUUUCCACUCCAAGUGUAAGCGUCGGUAUGGCAAAGAGCAGUGAAGAGAAUCUGGACUCGGACCUCACCGGCCUGAGGCGGAGCUACCUGCACAUCCUCUAUGACCAAUGGCUUAGUCGGCUCCCACGCAACAGCAGCUUUGCAGGUGAUA
This 501-nucleotide unclassified non-coding RNA is filed under the name Hevea brasiliensis (rubber tree). Lineage: Eukaryota; Viridiplantae; Streptophyta; Magnoliopsida; Malpighiales; Euphorbiaceae. The record is from RNAcentral.